AACGCUAGCUACAGGCUUAACACAUGCAAGUCGCGGGGCAGCAUUUACUUAGCUUGCUAAGUGAGAUGGCGACCGGCGCACGGGUGAGUAACGCGUAUCCGACCUGCCCUUCACCACGGGAUAACCCGGUGAAAACCGGCCUAAUACCGUAUGUUGUCAUUUAUGCGCAUGUAUAUAUGACGAAAGGUUUAGCGGUGAAGGAUGGGGAUGCGUCCGAUUAGGUAGUAGGCGGGGUAACGGCCCACCUAGCCAUCGAUCGGUAGGGGUUCUGAGAGGAAGGUCCCCCACACUGGAACUGAGACACGGUCCAGACUCCUACGGGAGGCAGCAGUGAGGAAUAUUGGUCAAUGGGCGAGAGCCUGAACCAGCCAAGUAGCGUGCAGGAUGACGGCCCUACGGGUUGUAAACUGCUUUUAUGCGGGGAUAAAGUCAGGGAUGUGUCCCUGUUUGCAGGUACCGCAUGAAUAAGGACCGGCUAAUUCCGUGCCAGCAGCCGCGGUAAUACGGAAGGUCCGGGCGUUAUCCGGAUUUAUUGGGUUUAAAGGGAGCGUAGGCCGCCCCUUAAGCGUGUUGUGAAAUUCUGCGGCUCAACCGUAGACGUGCAGCGCGAACUGGUUUCCUUGAGUGCGCUGAAAGUGGGCGGAAUUUGUGGUGUAGCGGUGAAAUGCUUAGAUAUCACGAAGAACUCCGAUUG
This 694-nucleotide ribosomal RNA is filed under the name uncultured bacterium. RNAcentral describes it as "bacterial SSU rRNA". It matches the Rfam family "Bacterial small subunit ribosomal RNA", at positions 32 to 715 of the family's 1533-position model. The record is from RNAcentral.